RNAcentral lists this long non-coding RNA (1146 nucleotides) under Mustela putorius furo (domestic ferret). Its description in RNAcentral is "lncRNA (ENSMPUG00000031404.1)". The record is from RNAcentral. Lineage: Eukaryota; Metazoa; Chordata; Mammalia; Carnivora; Mustelidae.
AGCAGAGCUCCCCUCUGGGCAUGGUGGGGGGGGGAGCUGCCCUCUGCAGCGUUCCUAGCAGACUCCCUUUCCUCCUCUGCGCUCUCUGCCUGCCUGUCCCCUCCAGCCACCUGAAAUGUGUGGUGAAGCUUCAGCUGCUUCCUGAGAGCCUCCGACCACAUGGCCCGGCUCCUCCAGGCCCUGAAGCGGAGCUGGCCUUCAGACUGGACCGAUCUACUCUCUCGUUUUCAGCUGUUUUGGGCCACAGGGUGAAAACUGUCCUGUACCUCGAAGUUUUUCAUCUGGAAUGGAGACGAUUCCUCUCUGAAAGCACUGCUAGGAGCUGAACUGUAUGCCCCCCAAAGGUGUAUUGAACUCCUAAUCCCUAGUACCUGUGCAUGUGACCUUAUUUAGAAAUAGGGUCCGUGUAGAUGUAAUCGGUUAAGGGGAGAUCAGAGUGUGCCUUGAUCUAAUACAUCUGGUGUCCUUCUGAGAGGAGGGACCCUGGGACCGAGACAUACACAGAGAGGAAAACACCCUGUGAAGACAAAGACACGGAGGGAAGACAGCUCUAGGAAUAUCAAGAAGAGGGAGACGCUGGCAUUAGGCUCCACGAGUCCAGAAAUGCCGGGGGCCAAGAGAAGCUGGAAGGAGCAAGAGAGGAUCCUCCCCUAGAGCCUGCAGAGAGAGCAUGGCCCUCCCGACACCCUGAUUUUGGACUUCCACGCUCCAGAACUGUAAGAGAAUAAAUCCCUGACUCAGUUUGUGCAACUUUGUUAUGUAACACUGAGAAACCAACACAGAGAUUGUAUAUACACAAUGGACUCAGUGUGCGGCAUAAGAUGGGCACCUAAAGUGGGUAUUCUGGAGGCCGCAUUGGCUACUGGGGAGAUUGCUUACUUGGCCAAAGGAGCAAAGGAGAAGGCUAAGCUCUUUAAUAUGCACACAGGAUGCUUCAGAUGCAUGUUUUCAAAGGGUAGCUCUCCCAUUUAUUCAGAGACCUUGGUGUUUCACACAAGGGAAAAUGGAGCAGCCCAUGUGGGCCCUCAGCCACUAGAGGGCAUUUGAAGGACACCAGAUCAAUAGAAGCUGACCUCCUGUGGUCAACCAAAGGCCACAUAUACUGUAUGACCCACUGUGAGAAAGUAGGAAAUAAAUGACUCAAAC